RNAcentral lists this long non-coding RNA (935 nucleotides) under Malus domestica (apple). Its description in RNAcentral is "long non-coding RNA (MDOM_LNC012119)". The record is from RNAcentral. Lineage: Eukaryota; Viridiplantae; Streptophyta; Magnoliopsida; Rosales; Rosaceae.
CCAAUUGAUCAUGAUUAGGUCCUGAAAUUGGUAUUGGGAAGGGAAGCAGAAAAGAAAAUAAAAAGGGGGGCAGGGAGUUGCCCGAAGAUAUAACAUGGGAUUUACAAUGCAAAUGGGGCCAUGAGCAAGACAAGCAGAGGCAAAACACAUGUUCAUUUUGAUAAAAGAAGGGUUACAAGUGAUUCUAGUCUAACAAAUUUACAUCUUCACUCAGAGUAAUUAUUCGGGAAUGAUAAGUCUGCAUGAUUGUAAAAAUUCUACCAGGUUUAGCCAGAACAGUAUUGCUAUUAGCAAGUUGAGAUCUAGUGUGUUCUAGCUCUAAGUAUGACUUCUUCACUUCUUCAAUUUGAUGUUUAAGGGUACCAAGAAGGGUUGUUUGCUCAGCCUUAAGAACAAUAAGUUGUUCUUCCAACUUCUGGAUUUCAAAAGUUACCAUUCCAAUCUUUUCUUUUGUCAGCAAGCCCUCAUCCAUUAACUGUUCGACCUGAGCAGAAGUACUCGAUUCCUUCUCCCCGAAGCAUUUUACACGAUUGGCUUGUCUUUCAGCUCUCUGAUGUUGAUCCCUGAGAGCCCUCAAGUUCUCAAAGAAAGAGAAAAAGGAAUCAUGUUAGGUUUUGGAUAACUGGUCGGCCUUGAAGAGCUCUAUCGUAACCUUCUCUAUGUCAUGAUGAGCCUUAAGGCUGAACGAAGCUGAGAAGUCUUUCUUCACCCAAUCUUGGAAAGCUCGACAUUGCUCUUGAAAGCCAGAAGGUUCAGAAGAACGCUUUGAAGAUUUCAGCCUUGUUUUAAGUUGCCCGAAUUCUUCAAAAAGUUCGGGCAAAUCAGUAGUUGUUGAAAAUGAAAAAGAAGGGGGAGGGGUUCAUACUCCAGUUCUUCUGAUGGAGUAGUAACCGCUGAUGAGGCGACUUCAGUCCCGGUCCUCUCAAUUCCAGGGA